ACGCCCUGCCUGCUUGUUUCAGCUCUUAGACUGUAAACACUGCCCUCCUCACUGUGUGUUCAGUGCCACACCUCGUGCGUUUUCUUGGUAAUUUCAGUGCCUUGGGCUGAAGUGCUGUCUGUCUUCCUAAGCUCAGGAGGAAGAGUGCCUUGUGGAGAAAACACGUGUGUCAGGGGACACCGGUUUGAUCCCUGGUCUAGGAAGAUUCUACAUGCCACAGAGCAACUCAGCCUGUGCACCAUGACUCCUGCGCCCUGGCGUUGCAACUCCUGAAGCGCAUGUGCUUUGAGUCCGGGCUCGCAACAAGAGAAGCCACUGGAAUGAGAAGCCCACACACCACAGCUAGAGAGUAGCCCCCGCUCACAGCAACUAGAGAAAGCCUGCACAGCAACAAAGACCCAGGGCAGCCAAAAAUAAGUGCAGCCGAGAGUGUGGAUGGAAGAGUGUCUUGUGUGACCUUGCCAUGAUGAGGACGCACAGAGGGUUUCCCUGUUGACAUCUGGAUCCUCCAUGACGUUGCCUCCCCCCUGUACUGAUGCCUCUCCUGUGCCAUGAGGCCAGUGCCCGAGGUUUCCAUUUCCACUGGCCUCUGAGCUUGGGUCUGCAUCUAUGUCUCUCAGCUUGGGCGACACCUGGGCUCCUUUCUGACUAACCAGGCCCACUG
This is a long non-coding RNA of Bos taurus (domestic cattle), 664 nucleotides long. NCBI's taxonomy places the organism in Eukaryota, Metazoa, Chordata, Mammalia, Artiodactyla, Bovidae. The record is from Ensembl.